UCCUGUCCAGGUAAAUUUGUAUUUUCAUUUAAUACAAACUAUGGCUGAAGACAAUGCCAUGAAUCUCUGCAAUCGAGUUGUUCCUCGAACAUCUGGGAACGACCGAACCAGUAAUACUGAAAACGCUGAUGAGCGUCAUUGUGCAGUAUUACCAGCAGAAAAUGAAAUUAGUGGACAAUCGGCUUAUCAAGAGCCGAGUCUAGCUCAGGCACUCGGCCAGAUAAGCCGAGUCCUGCAAACUUUAGAUCAAAAUAUCCAUCAAAGUACCGCUCGACUAGACGCGGUGUUGGCCGCCAUCACGGCCUAUAAUGAAAAUAUUGCACGAAUAGGGCAAUUAUUGACUCGAAAUGAGCAACCAAUGACAGGC
Molecule: long non-coding RNA, 367 nt
Filed under: Ananas comosus (pineapple)
Lineage: Eukaryota; Viridiplantae; Streptophyta; Magnoliopsida; Poales; Bromeliaceae
Description: long non-coding RNA (ACOM_LNC040532)
Source: RNAcentral